GGGAUAGCUCCAAGGCUGGCGUCGAGGGCUCCGAGACGGUCGAGUCGGCCCUGCGUAUGCGGGGAUGGUCGGCCGUGGGUUCGAGUCCCACCCGCCCCACCA
Molecule: transfer RNA, 102 nt
Filed under: Streptomyces stelliscabiei
Lineage: Bacteria; Bacillati; Actinomycetota; Actinomycetes; Kitasatosporales; Streptomycetaceae
Description: tRNA-OTHER
Source: RNAcentral